UACGAAGGGAGCUAGCGUUGGUCGGAAUCACUGGGCGUAAAGCGCACGUAGGCGGAUCGUUAAGUCGGGGGUGAAAUCCCGAGGCUCAACCUCGGAACUGCCUUCGAUACUGGCGAUCUUGAGUUCGGGAGAGGUGGGUGGAAUUCCUAGUGUAGAGGUGAAAUUCGUAGAUAUUAGGAAGAACACCGGUGGCGAAGGCGGCCCACUGGCCCGAUACUGACGCUGAGGUGCGAAAGCGUGGGGAGCAAACAGG
This 253-nucleotide ribosomal RNA is filed under the name uncultured bacterium. RNAcentral describes it as "partial 16S ribosomal RNA". It matches the Rfam family "Bacterial small subunit ribosomal RNA", at positions 524 to 776 of the family's 1533-position model. The record is from RNAcentral.